Molecule: ribosomal RNA, 253 nt
Filed under: uncultured bacterium
Lineage: Bacteria
Description: partial 16S ribosomal RNA
Rfam family: Bacterial small subunit ribosomal RNA
Source: RNAcentral
UACGUAGGGGGCUAGCGUUGUCCGGAUUUAUUGGGCGUAAAGAGCGUGUAGGCGGCCAGGUAGGUCUGGUGUGAAAACUCGAGGCUUAACCUCGAGAUGUCAUCGGAAACCAUCUGGCUAGAGUCCGGAAGAGGAGAGUGGAAUUCCUGGUGUAGCGGUGAAAUGCGCAGAUAUCAGGAAGAACACCCGUGGCGAAGGCGGUUCUCUGGGACGGUACUGACGCUGAGACGCGAAAGCGUGGGGAGCGGACAGG